GACGAACGCUGGCGGCGUGCCUAAUACAUGCAAGUAGAACGCUGAAGGAGGAGCUUGCUUCUCUGGAGGAGUUGCGAACGGGUGAGUAACGCGUAGGUAACCUGCCUGGUAGCGGGGGAUAACUAUUGGAAACGAUAGCUAAUACCGCAUAAGAGUAGAUGUUGCAUGACAUUUGCUUAAAAGGUGCAAUUGCAUCACUACCAGAUGGACCUGCGUUGUAUUAGCUAGUUGGUGGGGUAACGGCUCACCAAGGCGACGAUACAUAGCCGACCUGAGAGGGUGAUCGGCCACACUGGGACUGAGACACGGCCCAGACUCCUACGGGAGGCAGCAGUAGGGAAUCUUCGGCAAUGGACGGAAGUCUGACCGAGCAACGCCGAGUGAGUGAAGAAGGUUUUCGGAUCGUAAAGCUCUGUUGUAAGAGAAGAACGAGUGUGAGAGUGGAAAGUUCACACUGUGACGGUAUCUUACCAGAAAGGGACGGCUAACUACGUG
This 495-nucleotide ribosomal RNA is filed under the name uncultured bacterium. Its description in RNAcentral is "partial 16S ribosomal RNA". It matches the Rfam family "Bacterial small subunit ribosomal RNA", at positions 28 to 507 of the family's 1533-position model. The record is from RNAcentral.